GUCCUGAAGAUGCUGGGGCUGGACAGUGUGAAAGUAGGAGUUUGUACUUGCUUUAAGAUCUUUUGAGUGAUUUUGAAUACUUUUUAUAAAUUAUUUGUUUUUCAUUUGUUCUUUAUGUUUGAAAAAAUAAUUACAUUCCAUUUUAUCUCCCUAAGGUAAACACAAACAAAAGAAAGAAAAAAAGCAAAACCCAAAACACCAUGAAUCUCAGUAUAAAUCAGUGAAAUAUGAUUCUUCAGAUAAUGAAUUAUUUCCUCGUGCAUCAUCUUCCUCAGGAUGCCAUACGGAUUCAAGCAAUGAAGGUUGUUUACCACCCUGUUAAGGUUUUUGCAUAUAUAACUUAAGUCAUUUUAAAAAAUUAAUUAAACCUCCUUCAUAAUUUGUUUAUUUGACUAAUAUUUAUUGAGCCUACCUAAUAUGUGCCAGACAUAAUGGUAAAUAUGGCAGGAGGUAAUGGUGCCAUAAUAAUGGUAAAUAUCUCUUCAGUCAAGGAACUUAUUUUAUAUUGGGCAAUACAAAUAAACAAAUAGUCUAUUACUGUAUAGAUGAAUGCACAUGCUAAUCACCAUUGACAUUAGGGAUUUUUAUUCUCUCUCAAGUAAUAUGCUUAUACUUCUAUUCCUUGAUUUAUUAGUAGUCUAAUCAGAAUUUUUUCUUACUAGCGAAAGGAACUAACUGGAUGAUUUAAGUGGAAAAGGAAUUAUAUUGAGUAACUUACAUAAUUGCCAAGAAGCAUAGAGAAUUCAUCUCUGAAUGUGGAUAGGAAUAAGGUGAAAUUUGAUAGCCAGACUAUAGCCAAUUUUAGUUCACAGAGCCUGAUGAGGGCACAGUGCCAUCACUGCCACUGUUGAACCUGGAUGCCUUAUCUUGCAAUGUCAGUGUUACUUGAUGUCACCAGUACCAUCACUGCCACUGCUGCCACAAGACACUGUGUAUUUCUGCCACUAUGACUAGAAUGGAUUCUUCAUUAUUUCUGUCUCAUUAUGUCAUUAACUUCUAGGCAGUGAUAGGCUCAUCCUAGGUCAUAUGCCUAUGUCCUAAGUGCAAAGGAAGCUAGGAAAACAAGCACUGGCAUUUUCAGCAUUGACAGCAGAAAACAUAGGAAGCAGAAUCAGACACUGGGCAAUCAAAAUUAUAACAUAUAUUAUGCAUAUUCAUACUAACUCUAGAUAUGUCAAUUGACUAUCUCACUUGAAAUUAUUCUUUUGUUUUACCUAUCCUUAUUCUCUCGGUGUUUGCUAGUGGUGUUUUGAUUAGUGUUUCUAUGAAUUAAUAAAUAUUAUCCUUAUAACUCUUUAUAUACUCUCUUUUAUACAGGUUAAGUAAUUGGUGUUUAAAUUACUAUCACUAUAUAAAUAUUGUUAC
This 1365-nucleotide long non-coding RNA is filed under the name Marmota monax (woodchuck). The record is from RNAcentral. Lineage: Eukaryota; Metazoa; Chordata; Mammalia; Rodentia; Sciuridae.